CAGCCACAAGCCCUCCUCCAUCGCCCCCACCCCCCGCCCUGCGCGCAGACAUCCUGCAGACGGCCCACCCGCCAGCGCGGGCUCCUCUCCGGCUGCUGAGCCAUUUCGCUUCCUCUGUGAGGACACAGGGAAAAAAUGUGUUUUCCUGGGCCUUGGCAGCCAGCGCCUGCGGCGCCUCCUCCCUGCUGGCAGCGGGGCAAAGCCGGGAGAACGCAGCACACGGGGAAGCUGGAGUGCGGGGUCCCAGCUCUGGUUCUGCCACCUACUCAUCUGCGCUGUGUGACUUCAGGUCAGCUGAGAUGUCACCGCCUCAGAGAGGCCUUUCCUGACCACCCUGGCUGAAGGAGCCCCCACCUCUGACACUCAUUUUCAUUUUACAUUAAUAUCUCCAUAUGGGAUCAUCUUGUCUAUAUAGUUGCUCACUAUUUAGUGUCUGUCUUCCCCAACCAGAGUGUAAGUUUCAUGAGGGUAGAACCUUGUCUGUGUCAUCCAGUGCUGUAUGUCCUGUGCCUAGAACAGUGCUGGCUGCAUAGUAAGCCUUCAGUAAAUACUUGCUGAGGAAAUAAAUCAGUGAAGGCUCAGAGAGGUAAAGUGACUCUCCAAAGUCACCCAGCUAGGAAGUACAAGAACUGGAAUUUGAGUCCAGAUCUGACCGAUUCCUGGUCUGGACAUCUGGGCCUAUGCUCAACUGGAAGGGGCCCAGCAUACAUGUAAGCAACGUGUUGUUCAGUGAUUGGAACCCCACCCAAAAGAGGUGACUUUGGGGACAGUUUAUUCUCCCUUUCCUUUGCUCCUGCUGUUCCACCGCCUGACGCGCCUGCCUUCACUCCCAGAGCCAUCUUCUCUGUGAGCCUGCGUCAUAGCACCUUCCUUAUUUCACUGCGUAGGGCUUAGGACCUCCCCAACUAGGAGGUCUUCGUGUGGCGCCCUGGUGACAGGCAAGGCUCCCUUCCCUUGACAUAGUGUAACGUGACUUCAGAAUCCUUGUUAUGCUUUCCUGCCUCUGGGCCUUAGUCCCCCUGGGAUUGUGACAUCUGUCCCUCACCUUCCAAAGCCCUUGGGUUUCAUAUGCAAAUUGGGCCCUAGCUCAACCAAGCAUUGAGGCAGCUUUGUCUGCACUCAAACAAUCCCCCCCAAAAUUGCCCAUUUGCCCUACCUUUUUAUCUCUAAGAGAGCCACUGUUGUUACCUCUUGGUGUACAAAAGUUCUCGAUUUUAGAAACUGCAUAAUUGUGAUUCUUGGUCAUCUAUAUCCCCAUUUUCUAUGAGUUUCUCAAGAACUGAGCCCAUAGUACGUACUCAACUAGUGAAUGAGUUCCUGCCCAGUAGACCUGCACAACAUCCCUGGACGCCGUGUUGCCAAGCCCUUCGCUCCCAUCCCCGGGCUGCCGCAUUUGGGGCAGGGCUUCAUUCUCCACCUGACAGGGACCGCUCCCCACAGGCGUGGCGCCCUUCCUGGUCAAGGUCGAGGGACGAGGUGCAAUGUUAUAUUUAAAUGUGGGUGCUCUCUGGCUUGAACGGAGUUCCUACUGGCCAAAUCUGGGACAAUUUGAGCAUCAAAAGAAGUAACAGUACUGAUGGAUUAUAACCUAUUGAAUAAGAAGAGUGCAUGAGUCCAUAGUAACGUGAAUAAAUAAGUAAAUGAGGAAAAGGUCCUGCUUACAAGAGAAGGAACGAUGCAGUUAAAAAAUGCCCAUUAGGCAACACCAUAGUAGUAACGGAUUCCAACCAGAAUCAUCAAUGGACAGGAAAAUUUGCUGAGAAAUAUAUUUACAUAGUCUCAAAGUAUUGCCCUACAGACAAUUAUUAAUUACAGAUGGAAAGACAGUAACUCUAUAGCGGAGAUACCUGGCACCACCUUUACCAAGUCAUCAAAGUUAAUUAAUAUCACCAGUAAUGGGACAAAUUGGCAUGUGUAUUUCCUAAAUGAUGCACUGAGAAGGACACAGCAUGACUUCUGUGGUAUUCCUGUCCAAAACUCGUACAAUAAAUCUAAUCGUGAGGAAACAUCAGACAAACCUAAACUGAGAGAAGUUCUAUAAAAUAACUGGACUGUGGGCUUAAAAAGUGACAAGUCCGUGAAAGACAAAGAAGGCCUGGGAACUGAUCCCGAAUGAAGCAAUCUAAGGAGCCGGGAGGACUCAAGGCAAUGUGUGACCCAGGAUUCUCCUUUGCGGUAAGGUCACUGUUAAGAUAAUUGGUAAAAUCCGAAUACAGUCUGUAGAUGGACGUUAAUUUCCUGAUUUUGAUCAUUGUCCUGUGGUCACGUAAGAGAGUGUGCUUGAUUUUAGGAAAUGUACACUGGAGCAUUUAGAGGGAAAGGGGCAUCCUGUCUGCAAUUUACUCUCAAAUAGUUCAGAACAAGAUAGAUGGAUAGAUAGAUAGAUAGAUAGAUGGAUAGAUGGAAGAGUAUAAAGAAAAUGUGAUAAAAUAUUAACAAUUGGGGAAUCUGGGUGAAGAACAUACAGAAAUUCUCCAUCAUUCCUGCAAUUUUUGUUGUAAUAAAAAAUUGUUUUUUUUGUUUUUUUGUUUUUUUAAGUAGGGGCUCUCAAGUCAGCCUGUGGGCUCAAAUCCUGGCGUCACCCCUCACCAGCUGAGUGACUUCACCCCUCCCUGCCUCAGUCUCCCCCUUUGUAAACUGGGCUUUAAUAGGAGCGCCUACUUCAUGGAUUGUGACACAAUUUAAUGCAUUCACACUUAAAAGCAUUUGGCACAACGCCUAGUAUGGAAUAAAAGAUCAAUAAAUAU
Molecule: long non-coding RNA, 2747 nt
Organism: Equus caballus (horse)
Lineage: Eukaryota; Metazoa; Chordata; Mammalia; Perissodactyla; Equidae
Source: RefSeq, a predicted model, not a curated record